This 764-nucleotide long non-coding RNA is filed under the name Bos indicus x Bos taurus (hybrid cattle). RNAcentral describes it as "lncRNA (ENSBIXG00005028698.1)". Lineage: Eukaryota; Metazoa; Chordata; Mammalia; Artiodactyla; Bovidae. The record is from RNAcentral.
CUUGGAGCCCCUCACCACUUGAGCUAGAACCAAACUCCUUCAUGGACCUGACUCUUAACUCCCCUCAAGAGGUUUCUGUUCGUGCUCUGAAUGCCUUCGGGAGCUCCCUGUAUGCCCUCAGAGACACAAAGUCUUCAAAGAAAGUGAAUGAAUCUGAGGUGGAAUGAAAAUGAAAGAAUAAACCAACAUUCAUUAAGCCCGAGAGGGGAGACACUGCGCUGGGUGAUGAAGGGGUGCAGGGCGUGAAAACAGGCUUGCUCCGCCCUCAGGAAAGCUCAGUCUGAGAAACAAGAAGAGUGAGCAAAGGAAGGGGGUCAGUGAAUGAACGCAGAUGAGAGAGAGCAAGCAGGCAAGUGCGUGGGUGCCUGGACAGAGCACCAACACCCAGGCUCUGGGGGCCCCCAGCGCUGCUCCUGGUCAGAGGCGUUUUCUCACCCAUCUGUACCCCAGCUCACUCUUCCUCUCCAGGCUCUCUCAGGACCGGCUCUCCCCAAGGCUAUUUUUAAACCAAUCAUGACUCACUUUUUGAAAGGCGUUAAAAAAAAAAAGGCUUUUUUCCCCAGCAAUCAAAUGUUCCUGUCCUCUGGGUGACACGUAUCUAGGCAGUCUUCCGUCAAGUGCCUCCUCCAAUGACCUGAUGAGGGGUCUUCUGCUCCUGUCUCCUGGUUCAUCAGCUUCUUUUCAUGCACUUUACCCUUUGCCCUGCUCACCCUGAGCCCCACUGAGAGCUCACACUUCAGACAAAAAACUAAACAUAAAUGGAG